This 346-nucleotide ribosomal RNA is filed under the name uncultured bacterium. RNAcentral describes it as "partial 16S ribosomal RNA". It matches the Rfam family "Bacterial small subunit ribosomal RNA", at positions 338 to 681 of the family's 1533-position model. The record is from RNAcentral.
CCUACGGGUGACUGCAGUGAGGAAUAUUGGUCAAUGGGCUUACGCCUGAACCAGCCAAGUCGCGUGAGGGAAGACUGCCCUAUGGGUUGUAAACCUCUUUUGUCAGGGAGCAAGUGGCGCUACGUGUAGCGUUAUCGAGAGUACCUGAAGAAAAAGCAGCGGCUAACUCCGUGCCAGCAGCCGCGGUAAUACGGAGGAUGCGAGCGUUAUCCGGAUUGAUGGGGUUGAAAGGGUGCGUAGGCGGAAUGCCAAGUCAGCGGGAAAAUCGCGGGGCUCAACCUCGCUCCGCCGUUGAAACUGGCGUUCUUGCGUGGGCUCGCAGUAUGCGGACUGCGUGGUGUAGCGG